AAAUAAUGUUUUCUACAAACUGCUACCAAUAAAGAAAACUGACAACAAUACAUUCAGCUUCAAGAUAGUGGCACCACCGUAAAAUCGUCUCUCUCUCAUGCACCCGCACUGUCUGCACUAAAAGUCCACACUCCAGAUUGAGGGUGCGCGGCCACUUUACCAGCUCAUGAGCACAAUUUUACACAAAACCAAUAACAUGUAAAACCAACUCAGAAAUCCCUAACAAAUGGAUUCUUUAUAAAAUCUCCUAGACAAUAUCCAGUACAAGUAAGCUACUCUGUAAACAGUCUGACUUUUUACCUCAGCUGGCAUCAAGCUAACAUAUACUCACUCAUUGUAAAUCACGUUCUUCUCUCACUCAGUUCGACACAAAACCAACACACAUUUCCUAACGUGAUAAUACCUUGACAAAGUUGUUAAAUUGCAUGUUAUUACAUAUUUUUUUGAUAUUAGAAUGUUUGGAAGUUCUGUUAAAAAGAACGGACAAGUUUACAUCUGCAAAGUUCUGGUGCUUUCUUUAUUCUGAAGAAUGGUGCGUGCACUUGGCCAGAACUUGCUGUUUUUCCUACUACCACAGUGCAACAGCGCCAUCUAUUGACUUGAUGGACUACUAAUGCUAAAGCAUGUAAAAUAUACAAUUUUAGAUUAAUUCAGACAAAUACAUAAAUAAAUUGGUUUAAAAAAAAUAAUAAAGUGGUGUCUGUUUUUAGUGACUUUGUUUUCAAUCCAUCACAGCAACAGUUCUGGUGGACAUUCCUACAGUCAGCAUACCAAUUGCACGCUCCCUCAAUCUGUGGCAUUGUGUUGUGACAACUGCACUUUUUAGUGUGGCCUUUUAUUCUCCCCAGCACAAGGUGCAACUGUGUAAUGAUCAUGCUUUUUAAUCAGCUUCUUGAUAUGACACACCUGUCAGGUGGAUGGAUUACCUUGGCAAAGGAGAAAUGCUCACUAAUAAGGAUGUACACAAAUUUGAGAGAAACAAGCUUUUUGUGCAUAUGGAACAUUUCUGGAAUCUUUUCUUUUAGCUCAUGAAACAUGGGACCAACACUUUACAUGUUGCGUUUAUAUUUUUGGUCAGUAUAGUGUGAAGCUGCGGCUCAGAGUAUUGUUUCUUCAUAUCCUAUGUAAUGCAUUCUCAUGCUAAAAAGUUAGCAUUUGAAACAGUGGCCAGGUAAACAUGGGUGUCAUGGCUUGCUGAAAUGACAUGGAACGAACCAGUAUCGUCUCAGUAUUGCUCUGUCAUGAGUGCUGACUGGAAGUGAAUGUGAAGACGGCUUUUGUGAAGCAUACGCGGCCAUUUUGAAUGGCUCCCAAUGUGCAUUAAUUUUUCACAUUUACAUUUUGUCAUUUAGCAGACGCUCUUAUCCAGUGCGACUUACAGGAGCAAUUAGGGUUGUGCCUAGCUCAAGGGCACGUCAACAGAUUUUUCACCUAGUCAGCUCGGGGAUUCAGACCAGCAACCUUUCUGCUCUUAACCACUAGGCUACCUGCCACCCCAUGACCUCAGCAGUACUAGCGACAUUUCUGCUGAUGGAAUGCUGUGUGGUCUCAGAGCAGACACUUCCUCCUCUGUCUGAACUACAUCUCCAUUGAUAGAGGGCACAGAUAGAAAUAGAUAUCUCUCCCAAAGGACGAGCUAGUAGCUUUGUACCUGCUCUGGUUUUCCAGCUUUAAACCAUUUCUAUGUCGUAAGUGAGAGAGAGAAGGUACUACUUUCUAUAGUUUUUUUCCGAUUUUUCUCUCUCGGACGGUGGCCCAUCCUUGCAGUUCUCUGUGACUACUCACACCUCUCAGCCCUACUGGCAGAGUUGCUGUUAGGAGCCCCCUGCUCAUGCUGUACAUCCAUAUGGUGGCUCCAUAGAGACAGAAUAUGAAUACCUCAGUGGGUGUUAUUAUUUAACCUUUGACCUGGAUCUGGUCACUGUCAGGUCACAUGAGCAGUCAGAGCCCACCGCUGAAACUACUUUCAUUACUACUGGUUUUGGUCUAUUAAGCUGCUUAGUGCCCCAUUCAAAGUGGAAAGAGAUCCUGUGAAGAAGGAUCCCACUGUGGUGGGCAUAUAUGAAGGGCUAAAGCCCGAGAGGUUAGCCAGAGAAUGUUGGUAAAUUCUGUCACUCACACACACACACACACACACACACACACACACACACACUAAAAUACAAACGCACAUUUAUACACCACCAGUGCAGCUCAAAGGAAUGAUAGGCAUCCGUCUGUGAAUGCUGACCGGCCCAGAGACCCAAGGAGGGAGGGUCAGUGAGAAAGGGAGAGGGUGGGGAGCACUUCAAGGGAGCAGGGAGGGUAGGUCUUACGGAGACCGAAAGAGGGAGGGAGAGUGGGAGGAGUAUACCAAAAGAGGUAGAGGGGAAAGAAAGUCACACAGAGUUGCUGGCAAAGUAGACAGAGGUGUCCGGGAAAGAGAAGACCAGGGAACUUGGUUGAACAAGCUGUGGACCAGGUGUGCUCCUCCUCUGCCCAACACGGAGUGCCUAUUCCUGGGUAGAAAGAGCAAAAGAGGCCCCUCUGGGGCUGGAUCAUGGGACAGCGCCUUCCUCUGGAGACCCCAGCUCAGGACCAACACCAACACAUCCACCGUAGAGGGCUGUAGUGGAGCAGGUUGAGAGCUUCAAGUUCCUUGGCAUCCACCUCACCAACAAACUAACAUGGUCCAAGCACACCAAGACAGUCGUGAAGAGGGCACGACAAAACCUUAUCCCCCCCAGGAGACUGAAAAGAUUUGGCAUGCCGUCCUCAGAUCCUCAAAAGGUUUUACAGCUGCUCCAUCGAGAGCAUCCUGACGGGUUGCAUCACUGCCUGGUAUGGCAACUGCUCGGCCUCCGACCGCAAGGCACUACAGAGGGUAGUGCCAGUACAUCACCGGGGCCAAGCUUCGUGCCAUCCAGGACCUCUAUACCAGGUGGUGUCAGAGGAAGACCUUAAAAAUUCAGACUUCAGCCACCCUAGUCAUAGAAUGUUCUCUCUGCUACCGCACGGCAAGCGGUACCGGAGUGCCAAGUCUAGGUCCAAGGGGCUUCUAAACAGCUUCUACCCCCAAGCCCUAAGACUCCUGAACAUCUAAUCAAAUGGCCAUCCAGACUAUUUGCAUUGCCCCCCCACCCCUCUUCUACGCUGCUGCUACUCUGUUAUUAUCUAUGCUUAGUCACUUUAAUAACUCUACCAACAUGUACAUAUUACCUCGACACCGGUGUCCCCCGCACAUUGACUCCGUACCGGUACCCCCUGUAUAUAGCCCUG
RNAcentral lists this long non-coding RNA (3258 nucleotides) under Salmo salar (Atlantic salmon). RNAcentral describes it as "lncRNA (ENSSSAG00000120711.1)". Lineage: Eukaryota; Metazoa; Chordata; Actinopteri; Salmoniformes; Salmonidae. The record is from RNAcentral.